GAUGAACGCUGGCGGCGUGCCUAAUACAUGCAAGUCGAGCGAACAGACGAGGAGCUUGCUCCUCUGACGUUAGCGGCGGACGGGUGAGUAACACGUGGAUAACCUACCUAUAAGACUGGGAUAACUUCGGGAAACCGGAGCUAAUACCGGAUAAUAUAUUGAACCGCAUGGUUCAAUAGUGAAAGACGGUUUUGCUGUCACUUAUAGAUGGAUCCGCGCCGCAUUAGCUAGUUGGUAAGGUAACGGCUUACCAAGGCGACGAUGCGUAGCCGACCUGAGAGGGGGAUCGGCCACACUGGAGCUGAGACGCGGUCCAGACUACUACGAGAGGCAGCAGUAGGGAAUCUUCCGCAAUGGGCGAAAGCCUGACGGAGCAACGCCGCGUGAGUGAUGAAGGUCUUCGGAUCGUAAAACUCUGUUAUUAGGGAAGAACAAAUGUGUAAGUAACUAUGCACGUCUUGACGGUACCUAAUCAGAAAGCCACGGCUAACUACGUG
This 497-nucleotide ribosomal RNA is filed under the name uncultured bacterium. Its description in RNAcentral is "partial 16S ribosomal RNA". It matches the Rfam family "Bacterial small subunit ribosomal RNA", at positions 28 to 507 of the family's 1533-position model. The record is from RNAcentral.